GCCCGUCUAGCUCAGUCGGUAGAGCGCAGGGCUCUUAACCUUGUGGUCGUGGGUUCGAGCCCCACGGUGGGCG
Molecule: transfer RNA, 73 nt
Filed under: Gossypium arboreum
Lineage: Eukaryota; Viridiplantae; Streptophyta; Magnoliopsida; Malvales; Malvaceae
Rfam family: tRNA
About the family: Transfer RNA (tRNA) molecules are approximately 80 nucleotides in length. Their secondary structure includes four short double-helical elements and three loops (D, anti-codon, and T loops). Further hydrogen bonds mediate the characteristic L-shaped molecular structure. tRNAs have two regions of fundamental functional importance: the anti-codon, which is responsible for specific mRNA codon recognition, and the 3' end, to which the tRNAs corresponding amino acid is attached (by aminoacyl-tRNA synthetases). tRNAs cope with the degeneracy of the genetic code in two manners: having more than one tRNA (with a specific anti-codon) for a particular amino acid; and 'wobble' base-pairing, i.e. permitting non-standard base-pairing at the 3rd anti-codon position.
Source: Rfam by way of RNAcentral